This is a non-coding RNA of Schizosaccharomyces pombe (fission yeast), 1208 nucleotides long. The record is from the annotation of a GenBank genome assembly. NCBI's taxonomy places the organism in Eukaryota, Fungi, Ascomycota, Schizosaccharomycetes, Schizosaccharomycetales, Schizosaccharomycetaceae.
AUAAUUCUUCGUUUUGAUUACUCAGUAAGAACUAGAUUAUACUUUUGUUGAACCGUUGUCAUUCAUGAACCAAUCUCAUUAGAAGCAUACAAGUGACGAAAAUCAAAUGUAUUAAAGAAAUGCAUAAUAUUUUUUCAACCAAUACUUAUAACAAGACAUCGCUUAAAUAAUAAUACAGAUUGAAAAUUCAAUUACUCGUAGGCGUUACCGAUAAGGAAAUAAAAAGGGGAACAUAAGCUACUUGAAUUGAGAUAAUCAAAUUUACUAUUUUGACCAUGUAGAAAAUGAUAUUCAUGAAGAUAUUAAUGCCGAAAAAUCUUCAUACAAGUAAUUGAAUGCUUAUGUUUCCUCAUUAUACAAAGGACAUAUCCAUUGACAUAAAAAUGUGCGGUCAACCACUGAAGAGAUAGUCUAUGCUUGUAACUUCUAAAAUUGGAACGACGAGUACAAGCGAAGACCUCUCAUUAUGCUUUUAAGUAUCCUUUUUAACUUGAAAUCAUCUAGAAAAUAUUUAAUAUUAAUCCAUAAGCAUAACAAACAUUUCGUAAAAUCAUAAUUAGUGAACCUAGCGCGAAUCGACGUUUUCUAAAUUUAACAGUAUAACUAAAAUAAUCUGUCGACAAAAAAUUGAAUCCCGGAUAAUUUUAGGCAUUAGGAGAUUUCCUCUCUAAAGCAGCUACCUCAAGUUGUAAAGCCCACAGCUCAUCUUGGAGUAUUUUAACCCGCUUAUCUUUCUCCUGAUUCAACUCAGUUUGUAGUGAAAGCUGUUUUUCUAAGAGUGUGUUUUUUUGGGAUUGCUGUUUGAACAGCAGCUGCAGCUUUUGCAAAUUCCUUUGAUAUAAAUCACAAUUCCUUUUCAAUUGCCGAAAUUCUUCUAGGUUUAUUACGUUCUCGUCAUUAUUCUCACUAGCAAUGGUGUUCAGAGAAUCGCUUGACGCAGUCCUUUGGGUGACUUUCUCUUCACUCACAAACUCUUUGUGAAAACUGAAUUCCAAAAGUUCUGAAUAUGGUUCUAUGACAUCGUAAUACGCUUUCUCAGCAGCAUCCCUAUCUUGUAUUUUUUUAAUUAACUCCAUUUAACACCAGUUAGAUAGGAGACUGCGUGAUAUUCUCUUGAAGACAACACAAACAAAAUAUGGUAGCAACUUACUCAAUACGAGACGAGAUGAAAGAACUGGAAAAAUUGACUACUAAAUCUUGAAAAAAUA